Calypte anna (Anna's hummingbird) is the source of this 794-nucleotide long non-coding RNA. RefSeq lists it as uncharacterized. The record is from RefSeq and is a predicted model, not a curated record. Lineage: Eukaryota; Metazoa; Chordata; Aves; Apodiformes; Trochilidae. The transcript has 2 exons.
UUGGGAUUUUUUUUUUUACUCUCCUAAGGAUGGUGGGGAGGACUGCAAAAUGCCGCCUCGCUGGGGGCAGACCUAAAAAGGCGCCUUAAAACGAAGCCACACAGGCGGCAUUCGCCACCGACCCGACCCAGCGGGUCAGAGCCGGGACAUUUGUCGGAGUUACUGUCGCUGCUUAUGCCCGGCCCGGCGGGGGCACAGAGGCCGCGUCGCAGGAACUGGAACACCCGAUACAGAAAGCGUUGCCGGGGCGAGCGAUUUCCAGGUAAAACCAUGAGUAAUCGUAGCACAGGGUAACAGUGAAGGAUUUGUAUGCAAGAAAUUAACUAUGUCUUAUCUUACAUCGUUUUGCUCCUCAGUACCUGGAGAGAAAUCCCUUCAUUUCCAGAGGAAACCUUGGUUGUCUGUCGACUUCAGGAUUCAGUCAUACAGUUGGACACAGCUGAAAAGAACCUGUGACACAUAUACAAACCCUUUCAGCUCGGGAUGGUUAUUAUUUCCUCAAAGGGAUAAUACCUUACACAAUGCACUUGAAUCUUCCCAAAUCUUAGGAUUUCCUGAAUAAUGCUCUGCCUUUAAUACAGAUUUUAAGUGCCUCUUGCAAUCUUAACUUCUUAAAUGUGUAAUGUAAAGUGAAUCAAAACUAUUACGUCUGUAAUAUGUGUUCUUGUUUGAAAGUACAGAAAUGAAGAUGGCACUGGAGAGUACGGUAACUCAGUACUGGAAAUACUAAUAUCUAAUGGGUAAGUGCUCAUGUAAGUUUAAUGGAGACAGAGUAAACUGAGCUCUGAAAAGAA